Molecule: ribosomal RNA, 334 nt
Filed under: uncultured Pseudomonadota bacterium
Lineage: Bacteria; Pseudomonadati; Pseudomonadota
Description: bacterial SSU rRNA
Rfam family: Bacterial small subunit ribosomal RNA
Source: RNAcentral
AACGAACGCUGGCGGCGUGCCUAACACAUGCAAGUCGAGCGAGAAAGGGAGCAAUCCUGAGUAAAGCGGCGAACGGGUGAGUAACACGUAGGUAAUCUACCUUUGAGAUUGGGACAACCUGUCGAAAGAUGGGCUAAUACCGAAUAUGACCACGUUUCUUUGAAAUGAGGUAAAAGAUGGCCUCUACUUGUAAGCUAUCACUUAAAGAUGAGCCUGCGCAACAUUAGCUAGUUGGUAGGGUAAUGGCCUACCAAGGCAACGAUGUUUAGCUGAUCUGAGAGGAUGAUCAGCCACACUGGAACUGAAACACGGUCCAGACUCCUACGGGUGGCAG